UCCAGACUCCUACGGGAGGCAGCAGUGGGGGAUAUUGCACAAUGGGGGGAACCCUGAUGCAGCGACGCCGCGUGGGUGAAGGAGCGUUUCGGCGCGUAAAGCCCUAUCGGCAGGGAAGAAGGAGGACGGUACCUGACUAAGAAGCCCCGGCUAACUACGUGCCAGCAGCCGCGGUAAUACGUAGGGGGCAAGCGUUAUCCGGAUUUACUGGGUGUAAAGGGGGCGCAGACGGCGAUGCAAGCCAGGAGUGAAAGCCCGGGGCCCAACCCCGGGACUGCUCUUGGAACUGCGUGGCUGGAGUGCAGGAGGGGCAGGCGGAAUUCCUGGUGUAGCGGUGAAAUGCGUAGAUAUAAGGAGGAACACCGGUGGCGAAGGCGGCCUGCUGGACUGCAACUGACGUUGAGGCCCGAAAGCGUGGGGAGCAAACAGGAUUAGAUACCCUCGUAGAC
Molecule: ribosomal RNA, 449 nt
Filed under: uncultured bacterium
Lineage: Bacteria
Description: partial 16S ribosomal RNA
Rfam family: Bacterial small subunit ribosomal RNA
Source: RNAcentral